Molecule: ribosomal RNA, 492 nt
Filed under: uncultured bacterium
Lineage: Bacteria
Description: partial 16S ribosomal RNA
Rfam family: Bacterial small subunit ribosomal RNA
Source: RNAcentral
AGUGAGCGCUGGCGGUAGGCCUAACACAUGCAAGUCGAACGGCAGCACAGUAAGAGCUUGCUCUUACGGGUGGCGAGUGGCGGACGGGUGAGGAAUACAUCGGAAUCUACCUUUUCGUGGGGGAUAACGUAGGGAAACUUACGCUAAUACCGCAUACGACCUACGGGUGAAAGCAGGGGAUCUUCGGACCUUGCGCGAUUGAAUGAGCCGAUGUCGGAUUAGCUAGUUGGCGGGGUAAAGGCCCACCAAGGCGACGAUCCGUAGCUGGUCUGAGAGGAUGAUCAGCCACACUGGAACUGAGACACGGUCCAGACUCCUACGGGAGGCAGCAGUGGGGAAUAUUGGACAAAGGGCGCAAGCCUGAUCCAGCCAUACCGCGUGGGUGAAGAAGGCCUUCGGGUUGUAAAGCCCUUUUGUUGGGAAAGAAAAGCAGCAGGUUAAUACCCCGCUGUUCUGACGGUACCCAAAGAAUAAGCACCGGCUAACUUCGUG